CUGCGUGGAGCCGACCUUGAAAUACCACCCUUUAAUGUUUGAUGUUCUAACGUGGACCCGUAAUCCGGGUUGCGGACAGUGUCUGGUGGGUAGUUUGACUGGGGCGGUCUCCUCCUAAAGAGUAACGGAGGAGCACGAAGGUUGGCUAAUCCUGGUCGGACAUCAGGAGGUUAGUGCAAUGGCAUAAGCCAGCUUGACUGCGAGCGUGACGGCGCGAGCAGGUGCGAAAGCAGGUCAUAGUGAUCCGGUGGUUCUGAAUGGAAGGGCCAUCGCUCAACGGAUAAAAGGUACUCCGGGGAUAACAGGCUGAUACCGCCCAAGAGUUCAUAUCGACGGCGGUGUUUGGCACCUCGAUGUCGGCUCAUCACAUCCUGGGGCUGAAGUAGGUCCCAAGGGUAUGGCUGUUCGCCAUUUAAAGUGGUACGCGAGCUGGGUUUAGAACGUCGUGAGACAGUUCGGUCCCUAUCUGCCGUGGGCGCUGGAGAACUGAGGGGGGCUGCUCCUAGUACGAGAGGACCGGAGUGGACGCAUCACUGGUGUUCGGGUUGUCAUGCCAAUGGCACUGCCCGGUAGCUAAAUGCGGAAGAGAUAAGUGCUGAAAGCAUCUAAGCACGAAACUUGCCCCGA
This 627-nucleotide ribosomal RNA is filed under the name Salmonella enterica subsp. enterica serovar Infantis. Its description in RNAcentral is "partial 23S ribosomal RNA". It matches the Rfam family "Bacterial large subunit ribosomal RNA", at positions 2176 to 2802 of the family's 2925-position model. The record is from RNAcentral. RNAcentral also lists the same sequence under 3 other names. Lineage: Bacteria; Pseudomonadati; Pseudomonadota; Gammaproteobacteria; Enterobacterales; Enterobacteriaceae.